Molecule: long non-coding RNA, 811 nt
Organism: Sander lucioperca (pikeperch)
Lineage: Eukaryota; Metazoa; Chordata; Actinopteri; Perciformes; Percidae
Exons: 3
Source: RefSeq, a predicted model, not a curated record
AACCCUGUGAAGAAGUCAACACACCUAGUUAUCAUCUUAUAUACCUGUGAGAUUUAAUUUAAAGCUAAGGUAAAGGAUCAAUAGUGAUGAAUAUCUUGUGCAGAAAAUACAAAUAUAAAAAUGUAUAUCCCAUUAUGUUUAGUAUAGAAACAAAGUCUGUGAAUAAGUGUGCUUUGCAAGUAAUAGAGAUAUCGAGGCAUUCUACAUAAUAGACAGAUCAACAGAGAUACUUACAUCCUCAAGGUCAGGCAGUGCAGGUGAGCGCAAGAAGAAUCUAAGGUCUACCUGAGGAGUCCGGGCCAGGCCCACUGCUGUUCCUUGGUCUAUAACCUGGGCUGCUGUCUGGUACUGGUAGUCUGAGUUAUUGACAACAGAGACCACAGGCGACAGUUUGCCAUAAGCUGCACUGGCAGUUACAGGCCUGAAAUGUGUGUUGAAGACAAAACCACAGCUGGAAUGGAUGGUGGCAAUACUUGUCUGCCAGGUCAGCGGUGCCUACAUUGGACGUCUGUUUUUUUCAGUUGGAGAGAACAAGUAAAAACAUUGUAAGUUUGAUAAGAUAGAAAAGCAGCACAUCUACUCUUUCAAUGCACCAACAUAUUUUCUUACUUUCACAAAACAGGAUACAGUGAAUGAAAAUGAAGCUCUUCAUUUUACUCGUGCUUGAUCCCACAGUCAGCAUUGUUUUAUUCCCCUCCAAGCCAAAUCUGCAAGGUCAUCAUUACAGUCAAAGGGAAGGAUGCUAGUAGUAGUAUUGGUAUGCAUCUAAUGUAGUCCAGCCUCAUUUUCCCCAUCAGCUUUGCAGAGUUAA